Molecule: ribosomal RNA, 253 nt
Filed under: uncultured bacterium
Lineage: Bacteria
Description: partial 16S ribosomal RNA
Rfam family: Bacterial small subunit ribosomal RNA
Source: RNAcentral
UACGUAGGGGGCAAGCGUUGUCCGGAUUUAUUGGGCGUAAAGAGCGUGUAGGCGGCCUGAAAGGUCAGCUGUGAAAACUCGAGGCUCAACCUCGAGACGUCGGUUGAAACCAUCUGGCUAGAGUCCGGAAGAGGAGAGUGGAAUUCCCGGUGUAGCGGUGAAAUGCGUAGAGAUCGGGAGGAACACCAGUGGCGAAGGCGGCCGGCUGGGGGUGACCUGACGCUGAGGCGCGAAAGCGUGGGGAGCAAACAGG